Molecule: long non-coding RNA, 308 nt
Organism: Oncorhynchus tshawytscha (Chinook salmon)
Lineage: Eukaryota; Metazoa; Chordata; Actinopteri; Salmoniformes; Salmonidae
Source: Ensembl
AGGGCCUUACAUUAGAACACAACACAACAGCAUACGAUGAGAGAGAGAGAGAAGAGUGGCUAGAACACUAAUGUGGUCAGAUAUACUAUAGCUUCAGGUCAAAUAUACUUCCAGGUCAAAUAUACUACCAGGUCAGAUAUACUUCCAGGUCAAAUAUACUUCCAGGUCAGAUAUACUUCCAGGUCAGAUAUACUUCCAGGUCAAAUAUACUACCAGGUCAGAUAUACUUCCAGGUCAAAUAUACUUCCAGGUCAGAUAUACUUCCAGGUCAAAUAUACUUCCAGGUCAAAUAUACUUCCAGGUCAGAU